This 203-nucleotide ribosomal RNA is filed under the name uncultured fungus. Its description in RNAcentral is "partial small subunit ribosomal RNA". The record is from RNAcentral. Lineage: Eukaryota; Fungi.
GGUCAGUCUUGCACUGCGCAUCUCGCCGGGGCAAGGUUUGAUCAUCCGUAGGGGAAGCCAGUUCGUACUUCACUGUACGGCUGGGGGAACCUACAAUUUACUGUGAAAAAAUUAGAGUGUUCCAGGCAGGCAAUCGCUUGAAUACUCCAGCAUGGAAUAAUGGAAUAAGACUUCUGUCGAUUUGUUGGUUUGAGAUAGAAGUA